Molecule: small nuclear RNA, 157 nt
Organism: Bombyx mandarina (wild silkworm)
Lineage: Eukaryota; Metazoa; Arthropoda; Insecta; Lepidoptera; Bombycidae
Source: RefSeq, a predicted model, not a curated record
AUUCUUACCUGGCGUAGGGGGAUACCGUGAUCAUGCAGGAGGUUCCCCAGGGCGAGGCUGCUCCGUUGCACUGCAGAGUGGUUGACCCUUGCGAUUAUUAUUAUUUAGAUAACGGUCAAAGUUAAUGUAAAAUCAAAGAAGACUUCAUAUUUUUUUC